GAACGAUGAUGCCCAGCUUGCUGGGUGGAUUAGUGGCGAACGGGUGAGUAACACGUGAGUAACCUGCCCCUGACUCUGGGAUAAGCGUUGGAAACGACGUCUAAUACUGGAUAUGAUCACUGGCCGCAUGGUCUGGUGGUGGAAAGAUUUUUUGGUUGGGGAUGGACUCGCGGCCUAUCAGCUUGUUGGUGAGGUAAUGGCUCACCAAGGCGACGACGGGUAGCCGGCCUGAGAGGGUGACCGGCCACACUGGGACUGAGACACGGCCCAGACUCCUACGGGAGGCAGCAGUGGGGAAUAUUGCACAAUGGGCGAAAGCCUGAUGCAGCAACGCCGCGUGAGGGAUGACGGCCUUCGGGUUGUAAACCUCUUUUAGUAGGGAAGAAGCGAAAGUGACGGUACCUGCAGAAAAAGCACCGGCUAACUACGUGCCAGCAGCCGCGGUAAUACGUAGGGUGCAAGCGUUGUCCGGAAUUAUUGGGCGUAAAGAGCUCGUACGCGGUUUGUCGCGUCUGCUGUGAAAUCCCGAGGCUCAACCUCGGGCUUGCAGUGGGUACGGGCAGACUAGAGUGCGGUAGGGGAGAUUGGAAUUCCUGGUGUAGCGGUGGGAAUGCGCAGAUAUCAGGAGGAACACCGAUGGCGAAGGCAGAUCUCUGGGCCGUAACUGACGCUGAGGAGCGAAAGCAUGGGGAGCGAACAGGAUUAGAUACCCUGGUAGUCCAUGCCGUAAACGUUGGGCGCUAGAUGUAGGGACCUUUCCACGGUUUCUGUGUCGUAGCUAACGCAUUAAGCGCCCCGCCUGGGGAGUACGGCCGCAAGGCUAAAACUCAAAGGAAUUGACGGGGGCCCGCACAAGCGGCGGAGCAUGCGGAUUAAUUCGAUGCAACGCGAAGAACCUUACCAAGGCUUGACAUACACCGGAAACGGCCAGAGAUGGUCGCCCCCUUGUGGUCGGUGUACAGGUGGUGCAUGGUUGUCGUCAGCUCGUGUCGUGAGAUGUUGGGUUAAGUCCCGCAACGAGCGCAACCCUCGUUCUAUGUUGCCAGCGGGUUAUGCCGGGGACUCAUAGGAGACUGCCGGGGUCAACUCGGAGGAAGGUGGGGAUGACGUCAAAUCAUCAUGCCCCUUAUGUCUUGGGCUUCACGCAUGCUACAAUGGCCGGUACAAAGGGCUGCGAUACCGUAAGGUGGAGCGAAUCCCAAAAAGCCGGUCUCAGUUCGGAUUGAGGUCUGCAACUCGACCUCAUGAAGUCGGAGUCGCUAGUAAUCGCAGAUCAGCAACGCUGCGGUGAAUACGUUCCCGGGCCUUGUACACACCGCCCGUCAAGUCAUGAAAGUCGGUAACACCCGAA
RNAcentral lists this ribosomal RNA (1351 nucleotides) under Curtobacterium sp. GIC20or. Its description in RNAcentral is "16S ribosomal RNA". It matches the Rfam family "Bacterial small subunit ribosomal RNA", at positions 64 to 1425 of the family's 1533-position model. Lineage: Bacteria; Bacillati; Actinomycetota; Actinomycetes; Micrococcales; Microbacteriaceae. The record is from RNAcentral.